RNAcentral lists this ribosomal RNA (274 nucleotides) under uncultured bacterium. RNAcentral describes it as "partial 16S ribosomal RNA". It matches the Rfam family "Bacterial small subunit ribosomal RNA", at positions 523 to 796 of the family's 1533-position model. The record is from RNAcentral.
AGACGUAGGGGGCGAGCGUUGCUCGGAAUCACUGGGCUUAAAGGGCGCGUAGGCGGUUGUGCAAGUCUGGGGUUGAAGCCCACGGCUCAACCGUGGAAAGGCCCUGGAGACUGCACGACUUGAGUGAGCGAGGGGAGGGCGGAAUUCCCGGUGUGGCGGUGAAAUGCGUAGAUAUCGGGAGGAAGGCCUGUGGCGAAGGCGGCCCUCUGGCGCUUGACUGACGCUGAGGCGCGAAAGCGUGGGGAGCAAACCGGAUUAGAAACCCUAGUAGUCC